UGAAAACUUUAGGGGUGUCUGCAAGAUUUGCAGGCUGAGAUUUUACCCUUAGAACCUGAUCCGGAUCAUACUGGCGUAGGGAAAAGUAAGAUGUCUUCA
Sphingobacterium sp. ML3W is the source of this 99-nucleotide regulatory RNA element. It matches the Rfam family "TPP riboswitch aptamer (THI element)". Rfam says of the family: Vitamin B(1) in its active form thiamin pyrophosphate (TPP) is an essential coenzyme that is synthesised by coupling of pyrimidine and thiazole moieties in bacteria. The record is from Rfam. NCBI's taxonomy places the organism in Bacteria, Pseudomonadati, Bacteroidota, Sphingobacteriia, Sphingobacteriales, Sphingobacteriaceae.